RNAcentral lists this ribosomal RNA (475 nucleotides) under Pasteurellaceae bacterium canine oral taxon 080. Its description in RNAcentral is "bacterial SSU rRNA". It matches the Rfam family "Bacterial small subunit ribosomal RNA", at positions 9 to 473 of the family's 1533-position model. Lineage: Bacteria; Pseudomonadati; Pseudomonadota; Gammaproteobacteria; Pasteurellales; Pasteurellaceae. The record is from RNAcentral.
GAGUUUGAUCAUGGCUCAGAUUGAACGCUGGCGGCAGGCUUAACACAUGCAAGUCGAACGGUAGCAGGAGAAAGCUUGCUUUCUUGCUGACGAGUGGCGGACGGGUGAGUAAUGCUUGGGAAUCUGGCUUAUGGAGGGGGAUAACUACUGGAAACGGUAGCUAAUACCGCGUAAUAUCGAGAGAUUAAAGACUGGGACCUACGGGCCAGUUGCCAUAAGAUGAGCCCAAGUGGGAUUAGGUAGUUGGUGGGGUAAAGGCCUACCAAGCCCGCGAUCUCUAGCUGGUCUGAGAGGAUGACCAGCCACACUGGAACUGAGACACGGUCCAGACUCCUACGGGAGGCAGCAGUGGGGAAUAUUGCACAAUGGGGGGAACCCUGAUGCAGCCAUGCCGCGUGAAUGAAGAAGGCCUUCGGGUUGUAAAGUUCUUUCGGUGGUGAGGAAGGUAUCAACUUUAAUAGAGUUGGUAAUUGAC